Acanthosepion pharaonis is the source of this 114-nucleotide non-coding RNA. Lineage: Eukaryota; Metazoa; Mollusca; Cephalopoda; Sepiida; Sepiidae. The record is from the annotation of a GenBank genome assembly.
UUACGGCCAUAUCACGUUAAAACAUUGGUUCCUGUACGAUCACCGAAGUUAAGCAACGUCACGCCUGGUCAGUACCUACAUCGGUGACCGACUGAGAAUACCUGGUGCUGUAAG